Molecule: ribosomal RNA, 1386 nt
Filed under: uncultured bacterium
Lineage: Bacteria
Description: bacterial SSU rRNA
Rfam family: Bacterial small subunit ribosomal RNA
Source: RNAcentral
AGAGUUUGAUCCUGGCUCAGGAUGAACGCUGGCGGCAUGCCUAAUACAUGCAAGUCGAACGAGAGACCUUCGGGUCUCUAGUGGCGAACGGGUGAGUAACACGUAGGGAACCUGCCCGUGCGACCGGGAGAACUUUCGGAAACGGAAGCUGAUACCGGAUAGGGACAGAGACGGCAUCGACUCUGUGUUAAAGGAGCUGAAAGGCUCCGCGCACGGAUGGACCUGCGGUGCAUUAGCUGGUUGGUGAGGUAACGGCCCACCAAGGCGACGAUGCAUAGCCGGCCUGAGAGGGCGGACGGCCACACUGGGACUGAGACACGGCCCAGACUCCUACGGGAGGCAGCAGUAGGGAAUUUUCGUCAAUGGGCGCAAGCCUGAACGAGCAAUGCCGCGUGAACGAGGAAGGUCUUCGGAUCGUAAAGUUCUGUUGAAGGGGAAAAAGAGCGGAGAGAGGAAAUGGUCUCCGAUUGAUAUUACCCUUCGAGGAAGUCACGGCUAACUACGUGCCAGCAGCCGCGGUAAUACGUAGGUGGCGAGCGUUAUCCGGAAUGAUUGGGCGUAAAGGGUGCGUAGGCGGCCUGCUAAGUCUGGAGUGAAAGGUACCGGCUCAACCGGUACAGGCUCUGGAAACUGGCGGGCUAGAGAGCAGGAGAGGGCGGUGGAACUCCAUGUGUAGCGGUAAAAUGCGUAGAUAUAUGGAAGAACACCAGUGGCGAAGGCGGCCGCCUGGCCUGUUACUGACGCUGAGGCACGAAAGCGUGGGGAGCAAAUAGGAUUAGAUACCCUAGUAGUCCACGCCGUAAACGAUGAGGACCAAGUGUUGGGGAAGACCCAGUGCUGCAGUUAACGCAGUGAGUCCUCCGCCUGGGGAGUAUGCACGCAAGUGUGAAACUCAAAGGAAUUGACGGGGGCCCGCACAAGCGGUGGAGUAUGUGGUUUAAUUCGAAGCAACGCGAAGAACCUUACCAGGCCUUGACAUAGGGUGCGAAGCUGUGGAGACAUAGUGGAGGUAAACAUCCAUACAGGUGGUGCAUGGUUGUCGUCAGCUCGUGUCGUGAGAUGUUCAGUUAAGUCUGGCAACGAGCGCAACCCUCGUGAUGUGUUACCAAUAUCGAGUUAGGGACUCACAUCAGACUGCCGGUGAGAAACCGGAGGAAGGCGGGGAUGACGUCAAAUCAUCAUGCCCCUUAUGGCCUGGGCUACACACGUACUACAAUGGCGGCGACAGAGGGCAGCGAGCCUGCGAAGGCAAGCGAAUCCCAAAAAAGCCGUCCCAGUUCGGAUUGGAGUCUGCAACCCGACUCCAUGAAGUUGGAAUCGCUAGUAAUCGCGGAUCAGCAUGCCGCGGUGAAUACGUUCUCGGGCCUUGUACUCACCGCCCGUCAA